RNAcentral lists this small RNA (4661 nucleotides) under Pongo abelii (Sumatran orangutan). RNAcentral's name for it is "processed transcript". Lineage: Eukaryota; Metazoa; Chordata; Mammalia; Primates; Hominidae. The record is from RNAcentral.
UUGGCUCUUGCACCUCCUGGCCCUCUGGACUUGGUUAUGUGAUUGAGCUUCCAUGGCCUCCGUGUCUUUGUCUGUCAAUGGGUUUGAUAAAAGCGUUGACCUCUAGGUUCUUAGGAGGAUUAAUGAGAACAUUUUAUGUAAAGCUGCUUACAUGGAGCCUUGGUAUGUGCCGGAAAGCUUUAGCCCUUUAUUAAAAGUGACAGCAGGCCCAGCGCGGUGGCUCACGCCUGUAAUCCCAGCACUUUGGGAGGCUGAGGCGGGCAGAUCACUUGUGGUCAGGAGUUCGAGACCAGCUACUCGGGAGGCAGAGGCAGGAGAAUCGCUUGAACCUGGGGGGCGGAGGUUGCAGUGAGCUGAGCUCGCACCACUGCACUCUAGCCUGAGUGACAGAGUGAAACUCAGUCUCAAAAAAAAAAAAAAAAGAGGGCAGUAGUGGUGGGGGAGACCCCCAUCCCCCUUGCUGGAGUUUCCUAGGAAAGAAGGCUGGUGAGAGCUGUUGCUGGUGGUGGGCCCUGAGCCGCAGGGUCUGAGGGCCUACCCUGUGCUACCUCAGAGCUGCCUGAGAACUGGACGGACACGCGGGAGACGCUGCUGGAGGGGAUGUUGUUCAGCCUCAAGUACCUGGGCAUGACGCUGGUGGAGCAGCCCAAGGGCGAGGAGCUGUCGGCCGCCGCCAUCAAGAGGAUCGUGGCUACGGCUAAGGCCAGUGGGAAGAAGCUGCAGAAGGUGACUCUGAAGGUGUCGCCACGGGGAAUUAUCCUGACAGACAACCUCACCAACCAGCUCAUUGAGAACGUGUCCAUAUACAGGAUCUCCUAUUGCACAGCAGACAAGAUGCACGACAAGGUGUUUGCAUAUAUCGCCCAGAGCCAGCACAACCAGAGCCUCGAGUGCCACGCCUUCCUCUGCACCAAGCGGAAGAUGGCUCAGGCUGUUACCCUCACCGUAGCCCAGGCAUUCAAAGUCGCCUUUGAGUUUUGGCAGGUGUCCAAGGAAGAGAAAGAGAAGAGGGACAAAGCCAGCCAAGAGGGAGGGGACGUCCUGGGGGCCUGCCGAGACUGCACCCCCCCCUUGAAGAGCUUGGUCGCCACUGGGAACCUGCUGGACUUAGAGGAGACGGCUAAGGCCCCGCUGUCCACGGUCAGCGCCAACACCACCAACAUGGACGAGGUGCCACGGCCGCAAGCCUUGAGUGGCAGCAGUGUUGUCUGGGUGAGUGGUUGUGCGCCCAGCAGAUCGGUGAUCCUCAGCCUGACCUCUGGGUGAGCCUGGGGCUGCUCCAGGGACCAGGCCCUGGGACCCGUGACUUGUGGGCCUCUGGGAGAACCAGACCCAGCCCGGUAGUGCCCAGGCCCAGGAGAGGGGAUGAACAAUGUCCCUUUUGAACCUGAGGCUGCGUCCCCAACAGGCUUGGCUCCCAGCACAGCUGUCUCCUCACAAUGCUUGGCCUCUUGGCCUGAGCGUCCACACGGCUCUGCCCACCACAAGACCAGCCAAAGGCGCCCUUGUUCUUGGUGUGGCAGAGCUCACUCCUGACACCCCUCCCCCUCAGCUGCCUGAAUGAGGACCCAGAGACUUGGGCAGUCACCAGCUUGGUCCCUGACUCCCUCAGGGACUCAGGGCAAGCCCCCUGACCUCUCUGUCUCAGCUUUUGCAUCUCAGUGAGGGUGAUGACCUCUGCCAACAGAAUCUCCCCGAGGAACCUGAAAUUUAAUUUUAAUUUUUCAUUUGGAAAUAAUUUCAGACUGUGUUAGAAAAGUAGUACAAAGAAUUCCUGUUCACCCUUCAUCCAGAUUCCCCAGUUGUUAACAUCUUGCAUGACCACAUUACACUGGUCAGAAUCAGGAAACAAACACGAUACUGUGCUGUUAUAUAAUCUAUAGAACUUACACAUUUCUCCAGGUGCCCCUUCAGUGUCCUGUUUCUGGCCCAGGAUCCAUUGCAGAAUCACAUGUUAACUUGUCGUCUCUUUAAUUUUUAAAAAUCUGGGUACUGGGGGCUCCCCUGGUGUCCCUCGAGCCUGUUCUCUGCUGUUCAGGAACCACCCUUGCCACUUGCCCAUCCUCACCAGGAGGCCAUGGAGGGACCUCACCUGUCGCUUUUCUACUGAGGCUGUGGGACUCCUGGCAUCAGUUAUCCCUCAUGAGCUUGGAAUUUUGGCUUGGCUUUUGGAAGUAAAUGAAGGCAAGAAAACUUCCUUCCCCACCCUCUACCUUGUGGAAUUUGAAAGCCAUAGAAGUCAUCAGGUCUAACGCCCUCUUCUUAUUGAAGGAAAAGCUGAGUUUCAAAGAGGAGCAGUGACUUGCCCAAGGUCUCAUGGGCAGGUAGCAUGGAGCAGGGCACUGAACCCACCUGGGUCUCCAGACACCCUGGGACAUGCCCUUUCUCCUCUCCCACGUCUCCAGCUUUGGGUCCUUGGGCUGAGAUGCUGGCGAUGCAACCAGGCAGGAGGUCUGCCUGAGGCCGUGCCUCCAGGCACCCAUCCUGAGCUUGUGUCCUGAGUCCCUGUAGCUUAGCCAGGGGCUGGGACAAGCCCCGGCUGUGAGCAUGGGCUCCCCCAAACAUAGUUCUUAUCUCCUGCUUUGUUUUCCCCAAGGAGCUGGAUGAUGGCCUGGAUGAAGCGUUUUCGAGGCUUGCCCAGUCUCGGACGAACCCUCAGGUCCUGGACACUGGCCUGACAGCCCGGGACAUGCAUUACGCCCAGUGCCUCUCGCCUGUCAACUGGGACAAGCCUGACAGCAGCGGCACAGAGCAAGAUGACCUCUUCAGCUUCUGAGGGCCCGGGGCCAGCCGGACACAAGCGGCCCUGACACGUGACGGACCAAAGCCACCUGCUGCGGGGGAGCCGGUUCCGGUACCCACCCGCCACCUCUCCCAGCCCUCAGCACUGUCAGCCUGAAGAUCAGAGCUGCAGCCAGUCAGGCAGGGGAGAGAUUUUUUUUUUAAGCCCUGCUCUUUCUCUGAGAACCAAAAGAUGCCUUGAAUAUUUAUUCAGUGACUUCUGGCUUAUGCUUGGAAGCCAGUCUGCAUCAGGCACGUCUCCUGCUGCAUGACAUGUGCAGUGCUGUAAUCGGCUCCCGCUUGCUCUCCUGGAGCAAGCUCUGCCCUGGCUGUGGGUAUCAGGACUGUGACCAAAGCAUUUCUAGUCCCUUCUCUCUUUCUAAGGACCCAAAUUUCCCUGGGGGCAUCCUGCUUCCUGACAGCUGUUGGAUUUCAGUGAUUUUUUCCCCUCACCCCCCAGCACAGGAGAGCACCCACAGCCUCAGAAGGGGAAUGUGUCCUCCUGCUCUGCUUCCUCAGGGCCCAGCAGGCGGGGUUUGAGCCCUGGACCCCAGGCUCUUAGAGACUAAGGGGCAGCUCCUGACCAAAGACGAUACAGCUUGGCACUUUAAAGCAUUAACAGCAGGUGUGACCCUGAGGGCUCCUCCAUGGUGCUGCAUUGAAUCCAACUUUCCUUCUGUCCUUCCUCCAGGAGAAGGGGCCCAAGGUCCCCGUGGAUGGUCUCCACCUGUGCUUGGAACCAGUGUAAUUGGCUGCUCCCUGCUCCCAGGGACUGACACGGAGAUCAUCUGUGUGAUCGCCCUCCGUCGGGCCCCUCCCUGCCUUCUCCCCUCCAUGCAAGGCUGUGCUCUUCCUCUGGUUUCUGUGUGUCCGUUUGAGUGUCCGCGCCCCACCUCCCCAUACUUCCUGGGAUGGUGUGUGAAACCUGACACCUAGAUUUAUUCUCUGACCGCUUUACAGAUGAGGAAACUGAGGCCUCAAGCCCGGAGGGGUAGAGUGAAGAGUAGAACCCAGGUCUGAUGCCAAAGCUGCUUUCUUCUCUGCCUCCUCCUCACGCAACUCACACCUCCUUUUCUUCUAGCUUUGUUGUCCUCCCAGGAACCAAAAAACCCCAGCUAUUUUCUGACCAAAAUGUGUUUCAUAACAAACCAUCUGGUGCCUUUCCAUACAGAACUGGCAGGAGCCUCGUGUCCUGCUAGCUGUCUCUCUUGUUGAUUUCCGUGAAAAUGCAAGUGUUUGAAGUCUGCUCAUUCCGAGGGUGAAACAAAAUCCAACCCUGUCAGAAUCACGCUGUUCUCUUUGCUGACACUGUGACCCUGGGUCGGGACAUACCAGCAGCAAUCUGUCUUUAGAAUCUCUUUCCUUCCUCCCCUUUUGCCCCCGUGGGGCUCCUGGCAUCCUGAAAGCCAGCAAAGCCUCCAGCAUCUUUUCCAUCCUGAGGUGCCUCCCAGUGGCCUGGCUUGUCGGAGCAAGUUUCAUCAGCCCUAGGGAAAACACGGCCCUCCUGGGAACCUCCUUACCUGGAGUAACCGGACACCUUAGACGGAGGUGCCUGAGGGUGGGGUGGGAUUUGUAGGGUCAUUAUCAGAACAUGAGGAUAACUUCCUUGCCCCGGCUCUGUAGCCACCUCCUUGGCACCGGCCUCUGUAUUUGUCAUAAGGCGGCAUGGGCGAGGCCUGACACAGGCCAGCCUUGGCACGAGGGGGCCAGGGGUUCUGAGAAGCGCUGCCCUGUGAGGGCCACGCUGGCCUUCGUCUCCAUCUCUGGCUAACGGGCUGUCCGUGUGCCUCCUGUGUGUCUGCAGACAAGUCUUGCUGUGCUUUAUUUGUGAAACUUUAAUGAGGAAAAAACAAAUAAUAAAUGUUCUCAUUUUGAAACGC